AUGCACCCUUUUCUCAAGCCCGAGCCCGGCUCGAAGCCCGAAAUGCACUCUUUUCUCAAGCCCGAGCCCGGCCCGAAGUCAAGCCCGACCCGAAUGUUGUUUUCUAGUGUUCGCACAUGUAAGCCCGGCCCCAAGCCCGAAAGCCCGGCCCGAAAUUCUGGAAAAGAGAAGCUCAAGCCCGACCUGAAGUACCUUCCGGGCUGCAAAAUGAGGCCCAAGCCCGACCCGAAUGUCAAGCCCGAAGCCCUUUUUUCGGGCCGGGUCAUCAGGUCGGGUUAUCCAUGCCCGGGUUUAGACCAGAGUAUGAGAGAGUCAAAUGUGGAGGACAUAGAAAAAUUGUUGGCAAUUGGAGCAACAAGAGGAUUUACCAGUAUGUUAGAUUCAGUUGAUUGCAUGCACCCGCAAUGGAAGAACUGCCCCAAAAGUUUGCGUGGGCAAUACCAAGGUCACGUCAUAGAAGUCACCAUCAUACUUGAAGCGGUGAUAUCACAUGACUUGUGGAUUUGA
This 507-nucleotide ribosomal RNA is filed under the name Triticum aestivum (bread wheat). RNAcentral describes it as "partial small subunit ribosomal RNA". Lineage: Eukaryota; Viridiplantae; Streptophyta; Magnoliopsida; Poales; Poaceae. The record is from RNAcentral.